RNAcentral lists this transfer RNA (77 nucleotides) under Thiomicrorhabdus sp. RNAcentral describes it as "tRNA-Asp". It matches the Rfam family "tRNA". Rfam says of the family: Transfer RNA (tRNA) molecules are approximately 80 nucleotides in length. Their secondary structure includes four short double-helical elements and three loops (D, anti-codon, and T loops). Further hydrogen bonds mediate the characteristic L-shaped molecular structure. tRNAs have two regions of fundamental functional importance: the anti-codon, which is responsible for specific mRNA codon recognition, and the 3' end, to which the tRNAs corresponding amino acid is attached (by aminoacyl-tRNA synthetases). tRNAs cope with the degeneracy of the genetic code in two manners: having more than one tRNA (with a specific anti-codon) for a particular amino acid; and 'wobble' base-pairing, i.e. permitting non-standard base-pairing at the 3rd anti-codon position. The record is from RNAcentral. Lineage: Bacteria; Pseudomonadati; Pseudomonadota; Gammaproteobacteria; Thiotrichales; Piscirickettsiaceae.
GGUCCUGUAGCUCAGUUGGUUAGAGCGCCCGCCUGUCACGUGGGAGGCCGAGAGUUCGAGUCUCUUCAGGACCGCCA